RNAcentral lists this ribosomal RNA (637 nucleotides) under uncultured bacterium. RNAcentral describes it as "bacterial SSU rRNA". The stretch from base 1 to 538 matches the Rfam family "Bacterial small subunit ribosomal RNA", at positions 338 to 873 of the family's 1533-position model. The record is from RNAcentral.
CCUACGGGAGGCAGCAGUAAGGAAUAUUGGUCAAUGGACGCAAGUCUGAACCAGCCAUGCCGCGUGAAGGAUGAAGGUCCUCUGGAUUGUAAACUUCUUUUAUAGGGGACGAAAAAAGGGAAUUCUUUCUCGUCUGACGGUACCCUAGGAAUAAGCACCGGCUAACUCCGUGCCAGCAGCCGCGGUAAUACGGAGGGUGCAAGCGUUAUCCGGAUUUACUGGGUUUAAAGGGUGCGUAGGUGGGUCUGUAAGUCAGUGGUGAAAUCUCCGGGCUUAACCCGGAAGCUGCCAUUGAUACUAUAGGUCUUGAAUACUCUGGAGGUAAGCGGAAUAUGUCAUGUAGCGGUGAAAUGCUUAGAUAUGACAUAGAACACCAAUUGCGAAGGCAGCUUACUACGGGGUCAUUGACACUGAGGCACGAAAGCGUGGGGAUCAAACAGGAUUAGAUACCCUGGUAGUCCACGCCCUAAACGAUGGAUACUCGACAUCAGCGAUACACUGUUGGUUGUCUGAGACGAAGACAUUAAGUAGUACCACCGUACGGAAGGUACGGAGUCGUCGAAGAGUUAGUUAAACGUUAAAGGUUAAAGUUAGUACGGCGUUGAGACGNGCCGACGGACGACGACGAGGGAGGAGG